CAGUCGCCGCGGGAAUACGGAGGGGGCUAGCGUUGUUCGGAAUUACUGGGCGUAAAGCGCACGUAGGCGGCUUGGUAAGUUAGAGGUGAAAGCCCAGGGCUCAACCCUGGAAUUGCCUUUAAGACUGCCGAGCUAGUAGGUGAGAGAGGUAAGUGGAAUUCCGAGUGUAGAGGUGAAAUUCGUAGAUAUUCGGAAGAACACCAGUGGCGAAGGCGGCUUACUGGCUCAUUCUAGACGCUGAGGUGCGAAAGCGUGGGGAGCAAACAGGAUUAGAUACCCCAGUAGUCCCUGUCUCUUAUAC
RNAcentral lists this ribosomal RNA (301 nucleotides) under uncultured bacterium. RNAcentral's name for it is "partial 16S ribosomal RNA". It matches the Rfam family "Bacterial small subunit ribosomal RNA", at positions 509 to 807 of the family's 1533-position model. The record is from RNAcentral.